RNAcentral lists this transfer RNA (75 nucleotides) under Candidatus Peribacteraceae bacterium. RNAcentral describes it as "tRNA-Gln". It matches the Rfam family "tRNA". From Rfam's summary of the family: Transfer RNA (tRNA) molecules are approximately 80 nucleotides in length. Lineage: Bacteria; Candidatus Peregrinibacteriota; Candidatus Peribacteria; Candidatus Peribacterales. The record is from RNAcentral.
UGGGGAGUAGCCAAGUGGUAAGGCAACGGGUUCUGGUCCCGUGACUCGGGGGUUCGAAUCCCUCCUCCCCAGCCA